Molecule: long non-coding RNA, 1053 nt
Filed under: Gossypium barbadense (sea-island cotton)
Lineage: Eukaryota; Viridiplantae; Streptophyta; Magnoliopsida; Malvales; Malvaceae
Description: long non-coding RNA (GBAR_LNC002715)
Source: RNAcentral
CAGCGCAAGAGGGAAGGGACCAAACGCGAAGUUAACCAUUUAAAGAAAUUGGGCGCACAGACCAAGUCAAAAGGGUGUCUGUUCCUUCCCCCAAUGCUAGUCCCUUUUAUUGCUUUAAUUUAAAGCCUAUUUCAAAACUUUUUGCUUAAAAACAUUUCAAUUCUUGUUUGUUUUUUCUUUAAAAAAAAACUUUUGAGAUACUCUCAACUCACGCCUCCUCUUCUCCCCUUUUUAGCCGGCACCGAUCCCGUCAAAGAUCUGUCGCGCCAUGGCCACUGAUGAAGGCCCGAUUCCGGCGACAGGCUCACGAUAACAGGUACUUCCCUUCCCUUACUUCUUGAAUUUCAUAUAUAAAAAGAAUGAAAUAAAAAAAAACCGAAAGAAAAUCAAAGAUAGAAAAAUAAUCACCUUCAAAAGAUCUUGUUUGAAUCAAUUUUGUUUGCAUGCUUUUUCGUACUCAAUCCGUAUUCAAUUUCUCUCAAAAAAAAGAGUUAAAAAAAACCAUUUACAAUCAAAAUUUAGAGGCUUUAUACCCCAAAACAAGCGGUUUUUGGCCAUUUUGCUCAUGCUGCAGGUCUUGAAGACAUGGGGGCGGAGAACACCGAUGUGGGGUGAGCAAUGCGCGAGUCGGGGGUCUUGCGUGGUGCAUGGAGGCUGUUGGUGGCCAUUGCUACGGAGCGAAAUAGAUGGAAACCCUAGAGUUUUCGAAUUUGGGCCUAGUGUUGUUGGGCCAUUUGUAACUUGGCUUGUAUUUUGGGCUGUUUUAUGUAAUUGGGUAUUUGGGCUUAUUUGUAAAUGGACUCAUUUGAUGAUCUGUUUUAAUUUUGGUUUUUUGUAUGUGUAAUCCGGGCCAAAAUUGGGUCUUACACUUGCUCCCUACCAACUCUUCCAUUACCAUCCCUAAUUGCGUACCUCUUACCACAAGCAUUGCAAUUACUUGAUCGAAAUUAACCAUUUUUAAGUGGAUAAAUUCUGCUAUUAAUCCAUUUAUUAUUUGUAAGUUAGAGAAAUUAACCAUUUUUAAAUGGAUAAAUUCUGCUAAAAUUGCUGUCC